This 514-nucleotide ribosomal RNA is filed under the name uncultured bacterium. RNAcentral's name for it is "partial 16S ribosomal RNA". It matches the Rfam family "Bacterial small subunit ribosomal RNA", at positions 28 to 523 of the family's 1533-position model. The record is from RNAcentral.
GAUGAACGCUGGCGGCGUGCCUAAUACAUGCAAGUCGAGCGAACAGAUGAGAAGCUUGCUUCUCUGAUGUUAGCGGCGGACGGGUGAGUAACACGUGGGUAACCUACCUAUAAGACUGGGAUAACUCCGGGAAACCGGGGCUAAUACCGGAUAAUACUUUGAACCGCAUGGUUCAAUAGUGACAGACGGUUUCGGCUGUCACUUAUAGAUGGCCCGGCGCCGUAUUAGCUAGUUGGUAAGGUAACGGCUUACCAAGGCGACGAUACGUAGCCGACCUGGGAGGGUGAUCGGCCACACUGGAACUGAGACACGGUCCAGACUCCGACGGGAGGCAGCAGUAGGGAAUCUUCCGCAAUGGGCGAAAGCCUGACGGAGCAACGCCGCGUGAGUGAUGAAGGUCUUCGGAUCGUAAAACUCUGUUGUUAGGGAAGAACAAAUUUGUUAGUAACUGAACAAGUCUUGACGGUACCUAACCAGAAAGCCACGGCUAACUACGUGCCAGCAGCCGCCGCAG